This 414-nucleotide non-coding RNA is filed under the name Triticum aestivum (bread wheat). RNAcentral describes it as "rRNA SSU_rRNA_eukarya". It matches the Rfam family "Eukaryotic small subunit ribosomal RNA", at positions 185 to 467 of the family's 1831-position model. The record is from Rfam by way of RNAcentral. Lineage: Eukaryota; Viridiplantae; Streptophyta; Magnoliopsida; Poales; Poaceae.
GAGUAAAGGAGCAUGCGUUGACUUAUCUGUCAAUACUGUGAAGGCCUCUUCCUGUGUGGUACCCAAAACAAAAGGCACAUCUUUCUUUGUAAGCUCGCUGAGAGUUGCAGCAAUGGUGCUGCUCACAAAACGGCUAUAGAAACCAACGAGUCCAAGUGUGGUCUGGUAUCAAAAGCUGAAAAGGUUGGAAUGAAAAGUAGGAUAACUCGACGGAUCACACGGCCUUCGUGCCGGCGACGCAACAUUCAAAUUUCCGCCCUAUCAACUUUCGAUGGUAGGAUAGGGGCCUACCAUGAUGGUGACGGGUGACGGAGAAUUAGGGUUCGAUUCCGGAGAGGGAGCCUGAGAAACGGCUACCACAUCCAAGGAAGGCCGCAGGCGCGCAAAUUACCCAAUCCUGACACGGGGAGGUAG